This 613-nucleotide long non-coding RNA is filed under the name Triticum aestivum (bread wheat). RNAcentral's name for it is "long non-coding RNA (TAES_LNC007470)". Lineage: Eukaryota; Viridiplantae; Streptophyta; Magnoliopsida; Poales; Poaceae. The record is from RNAcentral.
CACCACCACCACGCCUUCAAUCCGACCUCCACCACUCCAGCAAGCAGGAGCAUCGCAAUGGCUGCGGUCUGCUCAAUUUAACUAUUGAAAUAUUAGUUUCUUGAUCCUUUCUGAGAUCAUGUUUUGUUUGCAUCUGAUAAAUAGGAUGACCUCCUUUCUUUCAGGUUUGUAUGCUAAGAUGAACUUGAGUUACGAGGUUGAUUUGUUUGUAUGCUAGGAUGAACUUGAGUGACGAGGUUGAUUUGGAAGAUCAUGUCUCCAGACAGGAUAAAAUCAGUGCUAAUGUGAGUUGAUUUGGAAGAUUGUCUCAAGACAGGAUAAAAUCAAUGCUGAUGAUGUGAGUGCCUUUUCAUUAUCCUGAACAUUCUUUUUCACUUGUACAACUUCAGCAUAGGAAAUUUCAUUGCCUCAGCUUAAUUAGAAAAUGAUAAUGAUUUCUAAAUCAUUUACUCUUAAAAGCUUAUCAUAGUAAAUGCGGAAAACGAAUGAGAUCAGAAAUAUAGGCGGACGACUUGAUCAUAAGGUCGGAUGUUUUCGUGAGCAGUAAGCAGCGGAUCUGCCAUUUUGGGGGAAAGCUGAUGGCCCUUUUGUCAUGUUAAUUCUGUCGACGGGU